RNAcentral lists this ribosomal RNA (648 nucleotides) under uncultured bacterium. Its description in RNAcentral is "bacterial SSU rRNA". It matches the Rfam family "Bacterial small subunit ribosomal RNA", at positions 8 to 648 of the family's 1533-position model. The record is from RNAcentral.
AGAGUUUGAUCCUGGCUCAGAUUGAACGCUGGCGGCAUGCUUUACACAUGCAAGUCGAACGGCAGCACGGGCUUCGGCCUGGUGGCGAGUGGCGAACGGGUGAGUAAUGCAUCGGAACGUGCCCAUGUCGUGGGGGAUAACGUAGCGAAAGCUACGCUAAUACCGCAUACGCCCUGAGGGGGAAAGCGGGGGAUUCUUCGGAACCUCGCGCGAUUGGAGCGGCCGAUGUCGGAUUAGCUAGUAGGUGAGGUAAAGGCUCACCUAGGCGACGAUCCGUAGCGGGUCUGAGAGGAUGAUCCGCCACACUGGGGCUGAGACACGGCCCAGACUCCUACGGGGGGCAGCAGUGGGGAAUUUUGGACAAUGGGGGCAACCCUGAUCCAGCCAUGCCGCGUGAGUGAAGAAGGCCUUCGGGUUGUAAAGCUCUUUCGGCCGGGAAGAAAUCGGCGACUCUAACAUAGUCGCUGGAUGACGGUACCGGACUAAGAAGCACCGGCUAACUACGUGCCAACAGCCGCGGUAAUACGUAGGGUGCGAGCGUUAAUCGGAAUUACUGGGCGUAAAGCGUGCGCAGGCGGUUUUGUAGGACAGAUGUGAAAUCCCCGGGCUUAACCUGGGAACUGCGUUUGUGACUGCAAGGCUAGAGUA